AUACUUACCUGGCAGGGGAGAUACUAUGAUCAAGAAGGUAGUUCACCCAGGGCAAGGCUCAGUCAUUGCACUCUGGCUGUGCAAUGAGCCCUGCGAAUUCCCAAUGUGGGAAUCUCAGCUGCAUAAUUUCUGGUAGUGGGAGACUGUGUUUGCACUCUCCCCUG
Small nuclear RNA from Megalops cyprinoides (Indo-Pacific tarpon), 164 nucleotides. RefSeq annotates it as U1 spliceosomal RNA. NCBI's taxonomy places the organism in Eukaryota, Metazoa, Chordata, Actinopteri, Elopiformes, Megalopidae. The record is from RefSeq and is a predicted model, not a curated record. The transcript has a single exon.